CAGUCGCCACGGUAAUACGAAGGGGGCAAGCGUUGUUCGGAAUUAUUGGGCGUAAAGCGCACGUAGGCGGCUUGGUAAGUUAGAGGUGAAAGCCCGGAGCCCAACUCCGGAAUUGCCUUUAAGACUGCCGAGCUAGUAGGUGAGAGAGGUAAGUGGAAUUCCGAGUGUAGAGGUGAAAUUCGUAGAUAUUCGGAAGAACACCAGUGGCGAAGGCGGCUUACUGGCUCAUUCUAGACGCUGAGGUGCGAAAGCGUGGGGAGCAAACAGGAUUAGAUACCCCAGUAGUCCCUGUCUCUUAUAU
RNAcentral lists this ribosomal RNA (301 nucleotides) under uncultured bacterium. RNAcentral describes it as "partial 16S ribosomal RNA". It matches the Rfam family "Bacterial small subunit ribosomal RNA", at positions 509 to 809 of the family's 1533-position model. The record is from RNAcentral.